This is a long non-coding RNA of Arabidopsis lyrata subsp. lyrata, 745 nucleotides long. RefSeq lists it as uncharacterized. Lineage: Eukaryota; Viridiplantae; Streptophyta; Magnoliopsida; Brassicales; Brassicaceae. The record is from RefSeq and is a predicted model, not a curated record. The transcript has 2 exons.
GUUAAAACGACGACUAAAACAUAUGACUAUUUAGAAGUGAAGCCUCCUUUUAGAAUAGAGUCUCCACUUUUGAUGGACUCCUCCUUCAAAUAUCUCUGAGUUGGUCUUGUUUUCCUCUCACUUCUUCUCACCCUUUUCUUCAUACCAUCCAAUGGAAUUCUCAAUCUAUAAGAUACAUGUGAGCAAAUAUAAGUUUCAAUUAGACGCAUAAAUCUAUCGAAAUGGGUUGCUAGAACGGAUCAUUCACUCUCAUUAUGGGAUGGUUCGUAAAACAUGCAGGUCUCUUGUCAAAGGCAAACAAACAAAUCAGAAAGUAAAGAAAGGACAUUUUUCUUGUGGGUGAGAAUCAAACCAAACUUCUCGGAAGUCUGCAAACACAACUCAUAAACUGAUAAGCUUUUCUUGAAACUUUCAGGCUGAUGAUGUGCUGCUAAUCGUUUGAGCUCCUUGCUGCUGAGAAAACUUUUAAAAGACCAAAACAUCUUUGAGCAAAGAGCAAGAACCUGUCUUGGAACAGAUUAUCAUUGUAGCCUUGUAGGUAAGAGAAGACGAUCUAGAGGCUCAAACCAAGGUCCUCUAAUGAGCAGUUUCAUGUUUUAGUGGUAUUGCAAUGUAAGUUGAGAAUAGUUUAUGGAUGGGAUCUGAUAGAUGAAGAAAUUGUAUGAUAUAGAUUGUGACUUGAAAUAGUAUGCAUCACUUUGUUAGAAAGAGAGGUAAUGAUAUAAUAACCAAAAAUACCUUUAAA